This 426-nucleotide ribosomal RNA is filed under the name uncultured bacterium. RNAcentral's name for it is "partial 16S ribosomal RNA". It matches the Rfam family "Bacterial small subunit ribosomal RNA", at positions 355 to 774 of the family's 1533-position model. The record is from RNAcentral.
UGGGGAAUAUUGCACAAUGGGCGCAAGCCUGAUGCAGCCAUGCCGCGUGUAUGAAGAAGGCCUUCGGGUUGUAAAGUACUUUCAGCGAGGAGGAAGGCGUUGUGGUUAAUAACCGCAACGAUUGACGUUACUCGCAGAAGAAGCACCGGCUAACUCCGUGCCAGCAGCCGCGGUAAUACGGAGGGUGCAAGCGUUAAUCGGAAUUACUGGGCGUAAAGCGCACGCAGGCGGUCUGUCAAGUCGGAUGUGAAAUCCCCGGGCUCAACCUGGGAACUGCAUCCGAAACUGGCAGGCUAGAGUCUUGUAGAGGGGGGUAGAAUUCCAGGUGUAGCGGUGAAAUGCGUAGAGAUCUGGAGGAAUACCGGUGGCGAAGGCGGCCCCCUGACAAAGACUGACGCUCAGGUGCGAAAGCGUGGGGAGCAAACA